GCCUCUUCUAUGUGUGGAUCAUCUCUCUUCCUUUCAGGGCUUCCAUCAAGGCUGCUAUCUUGGUCCUCAGGCUCUCUGGGAGGAUUCCUUACUUCCUGUGCAAGAGUUCCCAGGCCCUUCCAGCUUCCCUGAAGACAGCCAGACGGGACUCUGCAGAGACAGCUUGACCUCCUCAAGCAGGACCCAGCACCUUGGGCUCCCCUCAACAUUGUCUCCUUAACUGCACUGCAUCAUGGAGAAAGACCAGCCAC
Long non-coding RNA from Fukomys damarensis (Damara mole-rat), 251 nucleotides. RefSeq lists it as uncharacterized. Lineage: Eukaryota; Metazoa; Chordata; Mammalia; Rodentia; Bathyergidae. The record is from RefSeq and is a predicted model, not a curated record. The transcript is spliced from 3 exons.